Otolemur garnettii (small-eared galago) is the source of this 2678-nucleotide long non-coding RNA. RefSeq lists it as uncharacterized. The record is from RefSeq and is a predicted model, not a curated record. Lineage: Eukaryota; Metazoa; Chordata; Mammalia; Primates; Galagidae. The transcript is spliced from 2 exons.
GGCCUGGGAGGAGUUUCAUGGCCUGGUGAACAGCAGCGGCCGCUGAUCGGACGCUCCCCCUCUGUCUCUCACACUCAGGGGACAAUUCAAGCUUUCGAAAUACAAAAAUCACAUUGUGAAAGUACACAAGCUGGCAAUAAUCCUUUUCUGUGUGUGUGUGUUUGUCCGAAAUGGAUGGGAGGCCUCCAGCCGGUCCUUCCAUCUGCUCACUGAAGGGACAUCCCUGAGCCGUGUGCUCCCCUUUUGCACUCAUUCCUGGAGGACGGAUUCCGCUAGACACCCUCCAGCGUCGCUGACUUUAUAAAGCGGAAAAACAGCAAACGUGACUUUGUAAUAGACAAACAUUGUUUUUUAAUGGGGUUCUAUGGGGGGAGUUCAGCCUUUUGUUUUGCUGUGUGCUGUCCAGAUGCCUCCGGGGCAUCCCUUGUGCUCCUCUCAUGCUGUACGAAGGGCAUCGUGACCACAUACGUGUACAUGCCAGAGCUGGCAAUGAGAGAUAUCAGUAUUAUGAAUGUCUGUGCAUCCAGGAAAAGCUUUUGUUGGAGAGUCCCAGAGUAGCUGUAAAUGCUCUUUUCUAGCUCUGCCACUAAAUUAUUGGGACAUUUUGUUUCUUUCUCUCCCCUCUUCCCCAAGCAUACCACUUUGUGAAGCGGUGUUACUGAUGUGAGGACAGUCCUAGACUUUGUAUCAUCUCCCACCUUAUGCCCUCCAGUUUUCCCUCCUAUGAGAUUCUCUCCUUCUUAGGCACUGCUGCACUUAGGAUUAGAGUCCAGUGGGUCAUGCUGGUUUCAGUGAGGCAGCUUAGAGGGAAUGCCUUGGUAAGAAACUAGAGCAGAAUCCAGUUUGAAUAGGAACUAUUAUUAUUAACAUAGGCUCCAAGUACAGGAUUUGGAGCUGAGGGCAAUGACUAAGAUCAUUUUCCCUGAUGCACAGGGCUGAUACGUUAAGCCUUUUUCUGUAGGUUCUUGCAUGCCCCUCAUUGAGGAAGGGAAGUGAAGCUGGUUAUUGCCAGGCCUGUUAGUACUUAAUAUAUAAAUUCUAUGAUCCUGAAACUGAGACAGCUGAAGGAAGGGUAACCUUGCUGGAUGGCUUUAUUUGCAUGACUGUGCCUGUCUGCAGUGGUUGGAAAACCCUCCUUUCAGCCCUCAUUACUCAGUAUGUAUGUUAGCAAAUGUGUGCUGGUCCAUGAUGCCCAGACAGAAACCUUGAGGGCUACUGCAGGCAUGCUUUGAAAAUGACCCAGUCACUUAUUAGAGGGGCUGGGCAAUCUGACUCCAGAAGGACUGAAGUCAGGUCAAAAGAGCACCUAGGAUUCAAAUAAAUAAUGAAUCAGAGUUAUACAGCAACUUCCAAGUAGCACCGUCUUACUUGGCUCUUGUGAGCAAAGAUUGCAGUACCUUAAAUUAAGGCCUCUCCUUUAAACAUAUCCUUGAAGGCUAGGGGGUCCUUGGCAACCUGGCCUUGGAGAAAUCCUAUGAGAAUGACAAGCAUUUCCUUAUUGUAUUUGUAUUACUCUCUUCCUACUUUCCAACUCCUGAACACCCUCUAAUUACCACUGUUUCGGGAUGAUUUUUCCUGAAAGAACAGGGGAGUUCAGGGGCCAAAAGGGAGGUGCUUCAAUUACAGGUGAAGUUAGAUCAGGUAAGAUCUAGCAGGGAUUUAAACUCCAGGAACAUGAAGAAUGCAUUCUGGUGUCCAGACAGUUGUGAAGGGCUCAGGCAAAUAUAGGAGCAACAUCGGCUACAGUGGGGAGCAAAGGCCACCUUCUGAGAUUUGUCUAGACUCUAAGGAGGUCUUUACUUUUGCCUAAACUCAUAUUUGCCAUUAAAAUUUCCAAAGAGAGCAGACAUUUGGAUUUGCCCACCUUGGGGCAUCUACCUAACUGUUGCGUGUGCGUGGAAGAAGGUGCAGGUGUGUCCAACGUACUUAGGAGUGAGGGUCUGGUCAAGCCUAGUGGUUAUGUGUAUUGUCUGUCAUUUUGCCUUUUUUGUUGUUGUUCAGAUUUUUUGUUCGUAUGUUUUCUAGAGCUGCUCAUGUUUUCUCUUCCUCCUUGUCAUUGUAGUAUUUAACAGUUCUUUCCCCAUCAAAAUUAUGCUGACCCUCUGCCGGUUAGAACAGGGGGUUCUCCUUAUUAGGCAGCAUCUUACCCUCAGUGUUUUCCCAGAUACUCUGUCUACCAGUCAGUUUAUUCGCCCAUUUUCCUAAACUGGUUUGAGAAGGCUUUUAUUUUGACUCCAUGGGCCUCAUAUGCUGAGAUGUGAUAGUCAUGGUUAUGAUAUCACCUGUUAAAGACAAAGGGAAAAAAGGCCUGCCAAGGCCAAUGUGACCUGUAUGCUGGAUUGCCACUGGAGAACAGGAAAUCAGUCUCUACUUUGCACAGUUGGGGCUUCUCUCCCCAGACCCCUUUAUUUGGUUUCAUUUGAAAUUGGGCCCCCCUCCUCUCCAGUGCUCUUCUCUUUGUAUCCUUCUGUGUGUGUGUGCGUGUGUAUUUUCCCUGUGACACUGGCAGUGGCAAUAAUUUUCCACCCAGAGAGAAGCUUGUGGUCCACGAUGCUCCAAGAAUGAAUUUCCAAGUAUUUGCCAGUGGAGAAGGAGCAGAGGCUGUGACAAGAGUGACUAGUGUUGCACUUUCAGAGCAAUUGUCUACUGCAGUAAUAAACGGAAAAUAUCAGCAAGAA